RNAcentral lists this ribosomal RNA (377 nucleotides) under Acanthamoeba genotype T4. RNAcentral describes it as "SSU rRNA". It matches the Rfam family "Eukaryotic small subunit ribosomal RNA", at positions 778 to 1114 of the family's 1831-position model. The record is from RNAcentral. Lineage: Eukaryota; Discosea; Longamoebia; Acanthamoebidae.
CAGCAGGCAGAUUCAUUUUCUGCCACCGAAUACAUUAGCAUGGGAUAAUGGAAUAGGACCCUGUCCUCCUAUUUUCAGUUGGUUUUGGCAGCGCGAGGACUAGGGUAAUGAUUAAUAGGGAUAGUUGGGGGCAUUAAUAUUUAAUUGUCAGAGGUGAAAUUCUUGGAUUUAUGAAAGAUUAACUUCUGCGAAAGCAUCUGCCAAGGAUGUUUUCAUUAAUCAAGAACGAAAGUUAGGGGAUCGAAGACGAUCAGAUACCGUCGUAGUCUUAACCAUAAACGAUGCCGACCAGCGAUUAGGAGACGUUGAAUACAAAACACCACCAUCGGCGCGGUCGCCCUUGGCGUUUUUGUGUUCACACGGGGGCGCGGGAGGGU